UCGACGCGGCCAACAGGUCGCUACGCAGUCCCUCAUCGGUCGGCGCUCCUAACCGGUUGCUCCGAGCCGCGCAGAUUCGCUCGAUCGAAAACAGUUCCGCUCGGGGUGACGCGAGCCCAGGAAGUGACCUUGGAUUCUUUCUUCUUCUUCUUUUUUUUCGACCGAUAAAUUACACCCGGCGCGACAAGGAUUGGAUGGACCCGACCCCGUGGAAGCAGCGGCGCUACCGGUACUUCUACCUGUGACAUCGAAACCCCCCGUGCCAAAGUAACGGCCGAUCUUUUGCCGAUCUCUUCUGUUUAUCGUCAUUCUCUCCCCGUUUUUUGAAACAACCAUCCGAGAGAGCGACCAUGUUCGGACAAGUGCAACCAGACUUUUUGGAUCCCCAGCCCGAGAACGAGAACAAGGAUGGCUUCGACGCGAGGAUCGUGCGCCCCAAACUCAGGACUUUGAGCGACAACGCUGAUUACAUAUUCAACCAGAACCGAUACAAAAGCCCGCAGUACGAGGAAACGUUCGGCCGAUCGAUCGAAAACCCCGAGGAGUUUUGGGCGGAGGUCGGCCAGUGCAUCGAGUGGAGCAAACCCUGGCGCAAGGUCUUGGACAACUCCAACGUGCCGUUCACCAAAUGGUUCGUGGGCGGGGAAACAAACGCCUGCCACAACGCGAUCGACCGUCACGUGGCGGCUGGUCUCGGGGCAAAAACGGCCCUGAUCCACGACAGCCCGAUGACGCAGACGGUGCGCAGGGUGAGCUACGACGAGCUCCUCGACAAAACGUCCCGCCUGGCCGGGGCUUUGAGCGAAUUGGGCGUCGGCCCGGGUGACCGAGUGCUCAUCUACAUGCCCGUCAUACCCGAGACCAUCAUCGCCAUACUGGCCACCGCUCGCAUCGGUGCCGUCCACUCCAUCGUCUUUGGCGGGUUUGCAGCCAAGGAACUGGCGACGCGAGUCGACCACGCCGAGCCCAAGGUCAUUAUAGCCGCCAGCUGCGGUCUCGAGCCCAACAAAGUUGUAAGGUACACGGACAUGCUGAACGAGGCGAUGACGCUGAUCUCGACGACGCCCCGUUGCGUCGUAUUCCAGCGCAGGAACAUCUGGGUGGCGCCCCUGGGGCCCGACCAGCUCGACUGGGACGUGAUAUGCGACAGGGCCGAGCCCCACCCUUGCGUCCCCGUCGACGCCAAUCACCCGCUCUACAUCAUGUACACGUCCGGCACCACAGAUAAGCCCAAGGGCAUCCAGAGACCGACAGGUGGGCACAUAGCGACCCUGUGCUGGACGAUGAAGACGAUCUACGGCAUGGAGAAGAACUCGACGUGGUGGACGGCGUCGGACCUCGGCUGGGUCGCCGGGUUGUCGUACAUGUGCUACGGGCCCCUGCUCUGGGGAGCCACGAGCGUCGUCUACGAGGGCAAGCCCGACAGGACACCCGACGCCGGCCAGUACUUUAGAAUAAUCGACCAGCACAAAGUUAACGCGCUAUUCACCGUCCCCACGGCGUUCAGAGUGCUGAGGAGAGCCGACCCGGAGACGCUCCUCGGAAGGAAAUACUCGACCAAGUCUUUGAAGGCGAUUUUCGUGGCGGGCGAGCACUGCGACUACGAAGCCAAGGCCUGGGCGGAGAAGACCUUCAAGGCGCCGAUCCUGAACCAUUGGUGGCAGACCGAGACCGGCCACGCCAUCACCGCUUCGUGUCUGGGCCUCGGGCACAGCACCAGUCCGCCAAAGUACAGCACCGGCAUGCCCUUCCCGGGAUACUUUGUUGAGAUACUGAGAGAAGACGGCAGCAAGGCGUCCGACCACGAGCUCGGCAGGAUCGUCAUCAAGCUGCCCCUGCCCCCGGGCACCAUGUCCACCCUCUACAAGGCGCCCGACAGAUUCAAGGACAUCUACUUCUCCAAGUACCCCGGCUACUACGACACGAUGGACGCGGGCUACGUCGACGAGUUUGGGUACGUAUACGUGACGGCGCGGGACGACGACGUGAUCAACGUGGCCGGGCACCGGCUGUCGACUUCCGCCCUCGAGGACGUCAUUCUCAGCCAUCCGGAGGUCGUCGAUGCGGCGGUGGUUGGCGUGCCCGAGCACACCAAGGGCGAGAUACCCCUUUGUCUCUACGUCACGAGGGACGACGCUCAGAUGAACGAGAGGGAAAUCAACAACGAGCUGAUUGCACGGGUGAGGGAGCUGAUCGGACCGAUCGCCUCGUUCAAGGUCGCAGCGUCGGUCAGAGCGUUGCCGAGGACGCGUUCUGGCAAAACGUGCCGAAAGUCCAUUGCGGACCUCGCGCGCUCGAAGCACGUCAAGAUCUCAAGCACCGUUGAGGAUCCGACGGUCUAUCGAGACAUCAAGGCAGCGCUGCAGAAACUUGGAUACGCGAGAAUGGCGCCUGAUCCCCAAUAGAAAUGAAAAGAAAAAUAAUCAAACAUUCUCAUCAAACGUCUCAAUAGUAGUAGACUCUCUAAGACUUACCCUGCACAUAUGAACAUUAUGAUUAGCAUCGAAUCGGAUGCGUAAGAGGAAGCUCGUCAUGUCCGAGGUUUUA
Molecule: unclassified non-coding RNA, 2547 nt
Filed under: Copidosoma floridanum
Lineage: Eukaryota; Metazoa; Arthropoda; Insecta; Hymenoptera; Encyrtidae
Description: acyl-CoA synthetase short-chain family member 3, mitochondrial, transcript variant X2
Source: RNAcentral